Molecule: long non-coding RNA, 599 nt
Organism: Bos taurus (domestic cattle)
Lineage: Eukaryota; Metazoa; Chordata; Mammalia; Artiodactyla; Bovidae
Source: Ensembl
UCAAACCUCAGAAUGCAGCAUUUCCCAAGGCUUACUGAUGGUUUUAAGGGGGACCAAACUUUCAGAUAAGAUAUUUUAUACUUUGAAAAUCCUUUUAAGAACAGCAUGCUGGAACAAGUGAUGCUAGGAUGAGGCAGUAGAAGAGUUCAUAAGCUUCUUUGACCCCUAGUCUUCUGUGAUGUUCAAUGUUAUUAAGUGGUAUCUGUUGCUGCUGCUACUGCUAAGUCACUUCAGUCGUGUCUGACUCUGUGCGACCCCAUAGACAGCAGCCCACCAGGCUCCCCCGUCCCUGGGAUUCUCCAGGCAAGAACACUGGAGCGGGUUGCCAUUUCCUUCUCCAAUGCAUGAAAGUGAAAAGUGAAAGUGAAGUCGCUCAGUUGUGCCCGACUCUUAGUGACCCCAUGGACUGCAGCCCACCAGGCUCCUCCAUCCAUGGGAUUUUCCAGCUUGGUGCACUGUUCAAAUCUCCAAUAAGAUUCUAAUGGCUGGUAGUAGCAGGUACCUAUGUCUCCAUUUUAAAGGGAUGACUAAAAUAUGGUUUUACCAGUAGUCAUGUAUGGAUGUGAGAGCUGGACUAUAAAGAAAGCUGAGAGUGGAAG